This 253-nucleotide ribosomal RNA is filed under the name uncultured bacterium. Its description in RNAcentral is "partial 16S ribosomal RNA". It matches the Rfam family "Bacterial small subunit ribosomal RNA", at positions 524 to 776 of the family's 1533-position model. The record is from RNAcentral.
UACGAAGGGGGCUAGCGUUGCUCGGAAUCACUGGGCGUAAAGCGCAUGUAGGCGGACUCUUAAGUCAGGUGUGAAAUCCUGGAGCUCAACUCCAGAACUGCCCUUGAUACUGGGAGCCUUGAGUUCGGGAGAGGUGAGUGGAACUGCGAGUGUAGAGGUGAAAUUCGUAGAUAUUCGCAAGAACACCAGUGGCGAAGGCGGCUCGCUGGCCCGAUACUGACGCUGAGGUGCGAAAGCGUGGGGAGCAAACAGG